GUUGGGCAUGGUGGCGUGUGCCUGUAAUCCCAGCUACUUGGGAGGCUGAGGCAGGAGAAUUGCUUGAACCCGGGAGGCAGAGGUUGCAGUGAGCCAAGAUUGCGCCACUGCACUCCAGCCUGGAUGACACAGCAAGACCCUGUCUCAA
RNAcentral lists this non-coding RNA (148 nucleotides) under Nomascus leucogenys (northern white-cheeked gibbon). Lineage: Eukaryota; Metazoa; Chordata; Mammalia; Primates; Hylobatidae. The record is from Rfam by way of RNAcentral.